UACGUAGGGGGCAAGCGUUGUCCGGAUUUAUUGGGCGUAAAGAGCGUGUAGGCGGCCAGGUAGGUCUGGUGUGAAAACUCGAGGCUCAACCUCGAGAGGUCAUCGGAAACCAUCUGGCUAGAGUCCGGAAGAGGAGAGUGGAAUUCCCGGUGUAGCGGUGAAAUGCGCAGAUAUCGGGAAGAACACCUAUGGCGAAGGCAGGUCUCUGGGCCACUACUGACGCUGAGAAGCGAAAGCGUGGGGAGCAAACAGG
RNAcentral lists this ribosomal RNA (253 nucleotides) under uncultured bacterium. Its description in RNAcentral is "partial 16S ribosomal RNA". It matches the Rfam family "Bacterial small subunit ribosomal RNA", at positions 524 to 776 of the family's 1533-position model. The record is from RNAcentral.